This 299-nucleotide ribosomal RNA is filed under the name uncultured bacterium. Its description in RNAcentral is "partial 16S ribosomal RNA". It matches the Rfam family "Bacterial small subunit ribosomal RNA", at positions 475 to 776 of the family's 1533-position model. The record is from RNAcentral.
CUAUGCGCCUUGCCAGCCCGCUCAGGUGUGCUAGCCGCCGCGGUAAUACGUAGGGGGCAAGCGUUAUCCGGAAUUACUGGGUGUAAAGGGUGAGUAGGCGGCAUGGUAAGCCAGAUGUGAAAGCCUUGGGCUUAGCCCGAGGAUUGCAUUUGGAACUAUCAAGCUAGAGUACAGGAGAGGAAAGCGGAAUUCCUAGUGUAGCGGUGAAAUGCGUAGAUAUUAGGAAGAACACCAGUGGCGAAGGCGGCUUUCUGGACUGAAACUGACGCUGAGGCACGAAAGCGUGGGGAGCGAACAGG